This 450-nucleotide ribosomal RNA is filed under the name uncultured bacterium. RNAcentral describes it as "partial 16S ribosomal RNA". It matches the Rfam family "Bacterial small subunit ribosomal RNA", at positions 354 to 796 of the family's 1533-position model. The record is from RNAcentral.
GUGGGGAAUAUUGGACAAUGGGCGAAAGCCUGAUCCAGCCAUGCCGCGUGUGUGAAGAAGGUCUUCGGAUUGUAAAGCACUUUAAGUUGGGAGGAAGGGCAGUAAGUUAAUACCUUGCUGUUUUGACGUUACCAACAGAAUAAGCACCGGCUAACUUCGUGCCAGCAGCCGCGGUAAUACGUAGGGUGCGAGCGUUAAUCGGAAUUACUGGGCGUAAAGCGCGCGUAGGUGGUUUUGUAAGUUGGAGGUGAAAUCCCCGGGCUCAACCUGGGAACUGCCUCCAAAACUGCAUGACUAGAGUACGGUAGAGGGUAGUGGAAUUUCCUGUGUAGCGGUGAAAUGCGUAGAUAUAGGAAGGAACACCAGUGGCGAAGGCGACUACCUGGACUGAUACUGACACUGAGGUGCGAAAGCGUGGGGAGCAAACAGGAUUAGAAACCCGGGUAGUCC